This 253-nucleotide ribosomal RNA is filed under the name uncultured bacterium. RNAcentral's name for it is "partial 16S ribosomal RNA". It matches the Rfam family "Bacterial small subunit ribosomal RNA", at positions 524 to 776 of the family's 1533-position model. The record is from RNAcentral.
UACAGAGGUCCCAAGCGUUGUUCGGAUUCAUUGGGCGUAAAGGGUGUGCAGGUGGCGCCGUAAGUCGGGUGUGAAAUUUCGGAGCUUAACUCCGAAACUGCAUUCGAUACUGCGGUGCUUGAGGACUGGAGAGGAGACUGGAAUUCAUGGUGUAGCAGUGAAAUGCGUAGAGAUCAUGAGGAAGACCAGUGGCGAAGGCGGGUCUCUGGACAGUUCCUGACACUGAGACACGAAGGCCAGGGGAGCAAACGGG